Long non-coding RNA from Dermochelys coriacea (leatherback sea turtle), 625 nucleotides. RefSeq lists it as uncharacterized. The transcript has 2 exons. NCBI's taxonomy places the organism in Eukaryota, Metazoa, Chordata, Testudines, Dermochelyidae. The record is from RefSeq and is a predicted model, not a curated record.
AUAUUACCUCACCCACCUUGUCUCUCUUAGGAAAAAAAAUUGUAACUCAGAUAACAAGCCGAACUAUACCAAUUACAGCAUCUGUUUUCUUUCCAUUGUGAGAGAUUCUAUAUUUUUUUUUCUCAGAAGUAAACAUCAAAUAGGGAAAAGGAAUGACUUCUAAUAAAAUUAUGUUUGUUACUACUAUUAAUAAGUGUAUAUACCUCUGGUGUUCCCUUUAAAUAUCCUGGAAGGGUGGGUGACUCUGCAUACAGAUAAUCAGGGAGAAGCGGGAGCUGCUUCAUCAGUUCCAUUUUGAUAUUGCAUGUGGUCUCAGAGGAAGGACUCCAUAGAAGAAUUAGUGCAACAACCCUACUAGAGAUGAAAAAAUAUUGUAAAAGGUCAUUCUUCUGUCAUACAAGCCAAAUUAUGAACUCCUUACUCACAAUGGUGAGCAGUUCCAUUAGUCCCUUUGACUGUUUGUUUGAUUUAACCGAGAUGCAUACUAAAUAAUGUAUAACCCUUUCUCUGAAUUAAUUGCUCAAGGAUUUAAAAUAUAGUUACCAACUACAGGUCUAUAGGUUAUAACUGACUAGUAUCAACAAAUCAAGGGUAGAAUAAAGAUGAUAGCAUUUCACUCUUCUAA